Molecule: non-coding RNA, 82 nt
Organism: Podarcis lilfordi (Lilford's wall lizard)
Lineage: Eukaryota; Metazoa; Chordata; Lepidosauria; Squamata; Lacertidae
Source: the annotation of a GenBank genome assembly
GCAGCUGGAUAGCUCAGUUGGCUAGAGCGUGGUACUGAUAAAGUCAAGGUUGCAGGUUCAAUCCCUGUAAGGGACAGCUGUA